RNAcentral lists this long non-coding RNA (6264 nucleotides) under Sus scrofa (pig). RNAcentral's name for it is "lncRNA (ENSSSCG00060050582.1)". Lineage: Eukaryota; Metazoa; Chordata; Mammalia; Artiodactyla; Suidae. The record is from RNAcentral.
UAUACAGAGUCUUUACAAAGAUGCUUCCAGUUGCUUGAAAAAGGCAGAUGUGACAACAGAAACUUAAAGAUCCAUUCCAUUAUUGAUAAAUGAGAAAGGUUAAAGAACUUUAGUAGUUAAUUACAGGGCUAAAUAAAAUUGUUUAUAAAUUUCUCUGCUGUUGAAAUUGCCAAUAAGAGUAGAUAACUUCUCUAGUGUCAUGCUAUAGAUGGUGUUUUAAUAUAGCAAUUUUAAGUUAUUGUGUCAUUACUGUUCGUAUAUUUUAUGUAUUGUAUUAGUAUACAGAGCCCAUAUUUAAAUAUUUAUAUUCUACAAAUUCUAAAUGUUGUCCUUCUUAUUAGAUUGAAAGAAUACCUAGCUUAACCUAAUGUUCUAGUUGCUUCUUCAUGCAGUUUUCUUAUUUAUACUGGUAGAUGUCUGUUUUGUGCAGGUUUUGACUGCUGGUUCCAUCUCAAGUUCAUGUGUUAAAAUUCCACAUAUUUCAACUAAAGUUGAUAUCAAGUCUUUUCUAAGUGCCUGGUUAAGUGACCAGCAGACUUUUUUUUUGUUGAUGGAUUUCUUAUUAUGGAACCUUGGCUGGUAUUGAAGCAAUUUGAAUGUUUAUAAUAAAAUUUGGGAUGACAUAAAUUCGAAGUUGCUUGUUUUUUAUCACAAGAUCUUAAAAAUUUCAUUUACGUUGAAUUUUGCUGCAACUUCACAGAGUAAACAUCAAUUCUUUAUUCUACAGUAGGAAUGUUAACCUGAAUACCACAUGAAGACUAAGGGCUCAGAGAAUUUGCAUCCUUUAAAGAGAAUGAGAAGCCCAGAAGGUCAAUCUCAGGAGAUUAACAAAAUGUUUAGGCUAAUAUAGAAAGAUGGAGGAGGAGGUUAGUCAGGCUUUGGAGAAAUCUUGUGGUCGACCAGCACAUCCAGGACUAAAACCUAGUUUGUUUGUUUGCUUGUUUGUUCGUUUUGCUUUUUACGGCCACACCCACAGCAUAUUGAAGUUACAGGGCUAGAGGUCGAAUUGGAGCUACAGCUGCCCACCUACACCACAGCCACAGCAGUGUGGGAUCUGAACUCCUGCUGUGACCUACACCACAGCUCACGGCAACACUAGAUCCUUAACCCACUGAACGAGGCCAGGGAUCGAACCCUCAUCCUCAUGGAUUCUAGUCAGAUUCGUUUCCCGUUGCACCACGAAGGGAACUCUCUAAAAUCUAGUUCAGAUUGACUCCAGAGUAAGGCAGUUCUUUAUCAGUGUUGCCGGCCUGCUUCUGUAGAUAGAUAUUGUGAAGUAGUGGUAGAGUUAAAUCAGUGAAUCACAUGCAAUAGUGUGAAAGUCUUAUAAAUCCCAAUAUUAAAUUCUGCACUUGGAUUCAAAGAAACAGUGAUGAUCAAGUGGAUGAGAUGUGGAUAAACAGUAGCAUAUGUUAAGACAUUUGCUUAAAGUAAGUUCAAUAUUAGUCAACACUGUGCCAAGGCCAGCUGAGACUCCCCCUGGACCAGUGUUAAAAGAAGCACAACAGUAAGAACAAAUAAGAUGAGAGCCUCAUUUUAUAUUGGUUGCCUGUGUUUGAGUCCUGGUUUCUUGGUUCAUUUUACACUUUAAGGAAAUGAAAAUUUAUUAAGGAAAAAAAAAAGUAGAAAGUUAAAAAUGCUUGGCUUAUAAAGAAUGGUGAAAAGACAGGAAGGUGUUUCACAGUUAUGAGAAAGCCUGGUUGGUCGUGAUAGAUAUAAAAAACUUGGCCUUCUUUUUUCAGUAUAUAGAUGUAUUUUGUUCAGAUUUAAAAUCCAUAGCAUGAAACUCAAAACCAAAAAUUAUCAUGUUCGGCCUGAUUGACUUCUUGUAACUUACUCUUUGUCCUACAUGAGUAUGAAUGCUUUACCUCUACAGGCUGGUUAUUUGCUAUGAGGUGGAAGAAAAGAAUGCUGAGAACUCAUUUACCCCCCCCUUUUUUUUUUGGUUUAGAACAUAGCAGUAUUUUAAAUAGUGCUCCUUGGGAUCAAUAUUUUAGUUUCCCUUUCCUGCAAUUUUUUUUCCUUUUCUUUUUUUUUUAAUUUCAGACUUGAACACAAUCACAGGGAUUAAGAAAGGAUAAUGACAAUUAAAAUUCAGUUCAACCAACAGGCUUUAAAUUCUAUGUGUGUCUCCGUCAUCCAGCUUCUCCCUUCUCAGACCUGGCAGUGCUGCAGAAGCUCAUUUCUGUCUAGAUCACUGAUGCUCAAACAUAGGAGCAUCUAUCUCAGGAUCCCUUGAAACUUUCAAAAAUUAUCGAGGACCCUGUAAUUUGUUUAUUGUGAGUUACGGCUCUCGAUAUUUACUUUGUUGGAAGUUAAAAGUGGAUUUAAGAUGUUUACCUAAUAAUCCAUUUUAAAAUAAUAAACCCACUCCCUGUGUACAUAAAUACCAUUUUUUUUUUUUGGUAUGGAAAUAAUACUAUAUUCCUGAAAACAAAAAACUCAGUAGGAAGAGUGGCAAUGUAUUUCCCAUUUUUGUCCACUUAACAUGCAGAUUUUUAAAAAGAAAUAUAUUGGAAAAAACUGGGGGGAUUUUUGACAGCUUGAAAAAACUCAUAUAUGAACCAGGGAACCUGGAAAUAUUGAUAAAAAUUAAGAAAAAGUUAUGUUGUGAAAGCAUAAAAUAGGCAGAUAUACAUAUAACAUAGAAAAUAUGUGUUAGUCGAUUAUUUAUGGAAGUGGUAAGGCUUCCUGUCAAUAGCGGACGACUCCUAGUUACAUUUUGAGGAAUCAAGAGUUCUGAGAGGAUUUGGACCUGAGUGGGGCUCAGUGCUCCUAACCUUCCCGUUGUUCAAGCGUCAAUUCCAUGUCUCAGCAUUAUUACCAAAAUAAUUUUGACCUCCCAGCCCCCUGAAAGAGUUUCAAGAAUACCUAUAGGUCCCUAGAACACACUACUUUGAAAAGAACUAGUAUGGAUAUUCCAUGCAUACUUUUAAAUCUCUUAGUUAUGUCCCUUUGGUAGUUACAGAUCAGGCAGUCAUUACAUUCUGGAUCAUUGGCAUUCAUUGAUACUCUUCUCAUCAGAGAAGCUAGUGAUUGAAACUUGGAUUUAUCUGGGCAUUUGUUUGGCUCAAGAGUGAGGAGGCUAUCUAUAUAAAAAGUGUGUGUGUGCGUGUGUGUGUGUGUGUGUGAAUGUACAUAUGUGCUUACAGGUAUGUACUAUACAUAUGAAACAGAAUGUGUUCCUUGCUAGUCAAUAGGGAAUGAAGUAAUACAGACCACUCAAAAAAUAGCAGUGGUAUCAAAGACGGUAUUGCUCCUGUCUUUGAUGUAAAAAUGUUAAGACUUCUUCAGGUUAUUUGACACAAACGUAAAAAUAAAAUAGAGUAUUGCCUGAAAUAGGAUGGACAGCUUUUUAUAAUUACAUAGACAACAUCAGCAGGAUGUAAGUUAUUUAAAGAUGACAUUAGUGCUGAGCCAGCCAAAAAAGGGAAGAAAACAAGAUUUUGAAUUACUUCUGCACAGCCCACAUCCUGUCACGUGUCAUUGUUUAAUUGCACUUUGAGGCGCAGUCUCGGGGAGAAGAGUACAUAUCACUCUGCUUCUGCCGGGGCACGAUGCUUUGGUGUCCACCUGUGGGGAAGCACGAGUGGAUCUGCUGUCGUUAAAGCAUUCACCAUUGGGAGAGCUCCGUUUUCAGACUUUUAUUUUGCUUGAGAUUUCAAAAAUAAACCAUCCGACUGAGAUAGCAGCUUUGCCAAGAGAAAAAGUAUUGUUUAGUGAGUUUUUUUUAUCUGAAUGAAGGUGAUAUGAAUUUUACUCCCUGAGUAUUCUGGGAGUAUUAAAAUUAUUGGGAAAUCAUUCACAUAUAUCUAGGAUUUGGCCUAAAUUAAAGAUGUUAUUUUUCAGGCCAAGUCCCCCCCUUUUUUUUUUCUUUUUCUUUCUUUCUUUCUUUUUUUUUUUUUGUUUGUUUGUUUGUUUGCUAUUGAUCUCCACCAAAUGCUUGGGUAGCCUUCAAAAUAGUGAUUAAAAAUAUGAACCACCGUGAAUUACCUACAGCAGAGUGCAGUGCACUGAGGUUUAGACCUAUCACCAGAUUGGUAUCUGAGGGAGGGAGAGGCAGCCUGCGGAGACUAGGAGAAGAGCAGGCAGUAGGUCACAGGCAGAUGGGCCCCAGCAUAGGAGUUGAGCACAGCUGAAAGGCACAUCACCUCAGGUAGAUAGAGCACAGAUGCAGAUAAGGUUGGAACUGACCGGUCCUGCACAGAUCCACACGGCCAGGCAACAGGCAUCUGAGAAAUGUGUCACAGGGGUGUGGGUGCGGGGUAGGUCUGGCCAUUCCCGGGAUAGAUAGGAAAGAAUGGUAAAAUCAGUGAAAAUCUCAGUCACUAAAAAAAGCCGUUAAAAAGGGACACCUGACGCGUGCAAAUCAGGCAAGGUCCUGUAUCACCUGAGCAUAUAGAACAAGAGUCAUGGUUUUGAUGGUGUCAGCAGGCUUUCUUUGGAGGCGGUCUCCAAAGGAAUUUCAGCUCUCGUGAAUGUUAAUUAAACCCUUUGGAGUAAUUUGAUAGAAAUCUUUCUUUUUUGAGUUUAGCCCAUGGUUUGAUCUUACAUUUUGUUGAAGUUAGUGGAAAAAUACCAUCUACCUCUGUGAAACACUUGUAGUUUAAAUAAUAGAGACCACAUUUUGAUUCAUUGCCCUUGUAGAAAGAUGGUUCAGGGCUGUGUUCAUUUUUCUUCUAUAUUAGGAUUUAUUUAUAAAAUGCGGAAGAACUAUUUGAAAAUUUUUGGAAGUGGUACACCUCCCUUUUUUUGGUAUGUUCUUUACAUUUAUUUGGGGAUGAUCUCUGUGGAUUCUUUUCAUUGCCAGUUGUUUUAUUUCUCUUAAUGCCCAUGACACUCUUGUUAUUAAUUGUGCAACGAGGGUCAUGCAUUAACUCAUUCUAGCCACUUGGGCUCCUCCAAAUGUACUGGUGUUUGGUUCAUUAAAUGAUGCAUUAAUUGUUUUCAAACCACGAGGGCCUCAUUUAAUAACUUGCUAUAGCUUGCAAUUAAAUGGUGUCCCAGUGCCCUCAAAAUGUAUCCUCAUUUAAUGACUCACAUACUCUUGAAAAGGGCAUUUAAGUGACCACAACUAUGCCAGAGUUACAAAGUGAACUGAGUUACUUUUCUGGGUGGUUUUUUUUAUCCUUUAUCUGUGGCCUUCCCAAUAUCUUGCUGGAGCACCAACUAUCUACUUUAAUAAAAAAAUUUCAUGUAUUAAUAGCACUAAAAUCUUGCAGUUUGCAAUUUCAGCCUUAAUUUUAGACAUCUACAAGCCAGACACUCAUAGACCAAGACAGAUCUUAUACCUUCUGCUCUGAGACGGGCUCCUUAACUGUGUCAGCAGGUAACCCAUAUAAUUAAAAGGAGUGCCAUGUGUAGGCACUGGCCUGUCUUUAUCUGAAUUUUCUCGUUGAAUUCUCACAAAGACUAUGGAGUAUAGGUAUUUAUAUUCACCUGAUUUUAUAGAUGAAGCAAUUGAAACUUAGGGUUCCCGCUGUGGCAUAGCAGAUUAAGGAUCCAGCAUUGUCUCUGCAGAGGCUCAGGUCCAGUCCCCAGCCCGGCCAAACAGGUGGCAGAGCUGGAAUUCGAACAGAGCCAAUAGCCAUUCCAGCUCCACACUUCAUUCAUUCAUUGGUGAAUUCAUUCAUUCCUCUGACAAUUUUUAAUGCUCACUCUGUGACAAAUUUGACAGCUUACUGAGAGUGAAGGGCAGGGAAUCUAUGACUCCAAAUUUUGGGGUAGCUCUGGGCUUCAUCUAAUUCCUUUAAACUUUAUAGGCAGGAUGGAGAACUGUUAGGAGUCUAAAAAACAUAUCACCUCUGGAAAUAUUCUGCUCUGGGUAAUUCAGGUCCCCCCUCCUUGCUGCUUUAGUUUGGGAUUCCUUUCUUUGACUCUCCCACUGUUUCUUUGGCAACUCUCGGCUCAGCCUUGGUCCCUGUUUCUUUCUCACUAUUCUGCUGCACGUUCUCCUGCCUCUGCCAUUCUCUACAUCUUCGGUUGUUUCCCUCUCUGAUGUCUCUCUGUCCCUGAACCACCAGAAAAUAUAACUACACAGGAGUUCCCAUUGUGGCACAGUGGAAAUGAAUCCAACUAGGAACCAUGAGGUUGCAGGUUCGAUCCCUGGCCUUGCUCCAUGGGUUAAGAAUCCGGCGUUACCGUGAGCUGUGGUGUAGGUCGAAGACGUGUCUUGGAUCCUGCACUGCUGUGGCUGUGGUGUAGGCUGGCGGCUACAGCUCUGAUUAGACCCCUAGUUUGGGAACCUCCAUAUGCAGCAGGUGU